GAUGAAGAACGCAGCGAAAUGCGAUAAGUAGUGUGAAUUGCAGAAUUCAGUGAAUCAUCGAAUCUUUGAACGCACAUUGCGCCCCUUGGUAUUCCAUGGGGCAUGCCUGUUCGAGCGUCAUUUGUACCUUCAAGCUUUGCUUGGUGUUGGGUGUUUGUCUCGCCUUUGCGUGUAGACUCGCCUUAAAAUAAUUGGCAGCCGGCGUAUUGAUUUCGGAGCGCAGUACAUCUCGCGCUUUGCACUCAUAACGACAGCGUCCAAAAGUACUUUUUACGCUCUUGACCUCGGAUCAGGUAGGGAUACCCGCUGAACUUAAGCAUAUCAAUAAGCGGAGGA
Molecule: unclassified non-coding RNA, 336 nt
Filed under: soil metagenome
Description: partial contains 5.8S ribosomal RNA, internal transcribed spacer 2, and large subunit ribosomal RNA
Rfam family: 5.8S ribosomal RNA (bases 1-120)
Source: RNAcentral